This 900-nucleotide ribosomal RNA is filed under the name uncultured archaeon. RNAcentral describes it as "bacterial SSU rRNA". It matches the Rfam family "Archaeal small subunit ribosomal RNA", at positions 4 to 879 of the family's 1478-position model. The record is from RNAcentral.
CCGGUUGAUCCUGCCGGACCUUACUGCUAUCGGGGUGGGAAUACGACAUGCGCGUCGAGCGUCUCCAAACUCUGUUUGAGGCGCGGCAUACGGCUCAGUAACACGUGGCUAACCUACCCUCAGGACGGGGAUAAACCCGGGAAACUGGGGCUAAUACCCGAUAGGCGAGGAAUCCUGGAAUGGUUCCUCGCCCAAAGGGCUUUGGAAGCAUACUUUUCAAAGUCGCCUGGGGAUGGGGCCGCGUCCGAUCAGGUUGUUGGUGAGGUAACGGCUCACCAAGCCUAUAACCGGUACGGGCCGUGAGAGCGGUAGCCCGGAGAUGGGCACUGAGACAAGGGCCCAGGCCCUACGGGGCGCAGCAGUCGCGAAAACUCCGCAAUGCACGAAAGUGUGACGGGGCUACCCCGAGUGCCAUCCGCUGAGGAUGGCUUUUCCUCGGUGUAACUAGCCGGGGGAAUAAGGAGAGGGCAAGACUGGUGUCAGCCGCCGCGGUAAUACCAGCUCUCCGAGUGGUAGGGAUGAUUAUUGGGCUUAAAGCGUCCGUAGCCGGCUUAGCAAGUCUCCUGUUAAAUUCAGCGACCCAAUCGUUGAGCCGCGGGAGAUACUACUAGGCUAGGAGGCGGGAGAGGCCGACGGUACUUCCGGGGUAGGGGUGAAAUCCUAUAAUCCCGGGAGGACCACCAGUGGCGAAGGCUGUCGGCUAGAACGCGCUCGACGGUGAGGGACGAAAGCUGGGGGAGCGAACCGGAUUAGAUACCCGGGUAGUCCCAGCUGUAAACGACGCGGGCUAGGUGUUGGGGUGGCUACGAGCCACUUCAGUGCCGCAGGGAAGCCAUUAAGCCCGCCGCCUGGGGAGUACGGCCGCAAGGCUGAAACUUAAAGGAAUUGGCGGGGGAGCAC